ACACACAUAUGUAUGUAUACAUAUAUGUGUGUGCGUAUAGAUAGAUAUAUGUUUGCUUAUAUAAUGUCAGCUGUGCAUGUUUGUAUAGAUAUGAAUGCAUAAUACUGAAAAGCAGGCAACAGCUCGGCUGUUGUUCUAUCCCUUGUGUAUGAGGCUGUUUACAAGAUGACAAAAAGGGGAAAAAUAUGACAACAGCAAUGAUGAUGAUGAUGAUGAUGGUUUGUGAGUGUUGAUGAUAUUUGAGACAG
Molecule: long non-coding RNA, 248 nt
Organism: Octopus sinensis (East Asian common octopus)
Lineage: Eukaryota; Metazoa; Mollusca; Cephalopoda; Octopoda; Octopodidae
Exons: 2
Source: RefSeq, a predicted model, not a curated record